Molecule: long non-coding RNA, 1590 nt
Organism: Strigops habroptila (Kakapo)
Lineage: Eukaryota; Metazoa; Chordata; Aves; Psittaciformes; Psittacidae
Source: Ensembl
CAAAUGUCCAGUAGGUGGGAGGAAAUGUAGGAAGUGCAAGAUGUUUCUAGCUGGGAAAGUGCGGGCAACUGACUACUGCCAAAAGAAAUUUUUGCCCGUCAUUAAUGAAUAUGCUAAUGUGGCAAUAGGCACCAAUCCAGUGCCAUCUAGUCUCAGAGUAGUCUGUUAUGUUCUGGGAAGGUUAUUAAUAAAAGACUGCUUUUGAGUUGCAUUCAGAGGCAAGGAACAAAAGUGUCCAGAGGUGUGGUGCAUAAAGACACUUGGGAAGAUUUGCCCGUAUGGUGCUUACUGCACUAGAAUGGUCCAAGUACCUCCUAAAUCAGCUGUGUAGAGACGUUUGGGCAAGCACCUAUAAACAGAAAAGGAAACAGCCUGUGUGACAUGUUCUCUGGUGUAUGAGGGACAAAGAAGGUAUGGGCAGGGCUAUCUCUUAUGUCACCUGUACAUUUUCCCCAGCCAAGAACACAUCUGGCACAGCAUCGUAUUUCUACCAUUGUCCAAAUCCAGACAUUUCAGAGUAUGUGAAGGAUAUCUUGUGGUUUGAAGACUGUCAAGAGAGCAGCAGGAGAAGGGCUGCUCUACAAAAUAAGGCAAACUGGGAGCCAGGAGUAGAGACUGUACUGGUAGGGGUAGUGUCUUCACCAUCAGGAGUCAGAACCACAGUCACCAAAGAAGGCAGGUGAACUGGCGCCAGUGUCAAGUCACCGUGUCCUACAGACAGCCCAGUGCAGAAGUGCAAAGUGAUGAGUUAGGUCUGAGGUCAGUCCAGGAAGUCCAGUCAACAAGUGAAUACAGAACUAGAGAGUUGGGUACAGGCAUGCCUGCAACAUAGCUCAGGCAAGGAUUAGGAGCCAAGGCUCCUGGGCCCAUCAGUGGAGGCCCAAGUGAGGAUGGUCAAGGCAGCUAAGACCUCCUGGGACCCUCAAUGCUCUUGCAGAAAACUAUAGAAAAAGGUUUAAAGGAAAUCUUAUAUUAUAAAAUAUAUAUAUUUUAUAAUUUUAAAGGAAAUCCUGAGUUCUAAGGUACUUGGAGAUGAACUUCGUUAGUUAUGGCAGUUACUUUGGCAUUUUAAUGUUAGAUGUUUAUAGUGAAGACACUUCUGAGCUAGUCACUGCAAGUCUCUUUCUGUAGUUGCUAAGUGAAUAUGCACUUUAAAGCAGUCAAAUAGCUCAAGCUAAUGGUUAAAUGCGUCAGAAGCAUUAUACCUACCGUACAAGUGCCUGUUUCCCUCUAUUGAUUGUAAGCAGCUGAAGGUGAAGAUGUCUAAAGCUGAAUGAAUUGAACCCCAUGCAUGAGUCUCAGCUGAGGGUUUUUAUAACACCCAGAUCCAUUCUGGCAUCUUGGUUGUGAUUUUUGUGAUGCUGGGUCCUAAUAAAACCAUUAUCCCAGGACUAGUUACCUGAGUGCAGUGGUUAUUUUAAACAGCCACAGCCUAUACUAAAUGUAAUUACGUUUAUCUUUAAUUUGCAUUGAGGAAGAGAUGCACUUAGCUUGUCUCCUACCUUUGCACAGAAUAGCAUUACUGUAACAAUUGUUUAAAUUGCUUACGUUUCUGGAAAAGGACUUUUUUGUCAAUUUUAUGUCGAAAAA